GACGAACGCUGGCGGCGUGCCUCAUACAUGCAAGUCGAGCGGACUGACUUCGGUCAGUCAGCGGCGGACGGGUGAGUAACGCGUGGGUAACCUGCCCUAAAGUCUGGGAUAACAUCCUGAAAGGGAUGCUAAUACCGCAUAGGUUUCUUGGUCGCAUGAUCGAGAAAGGAAGACGGCCUUUGUGCUGUCGCUUUAUGGAUGGACCCGNGGCGUAUUAGUUAGUUAGAAGGUGAUGGCUCACCAAGACGAUGAUACGUAGCCGACCUGAGAGGGUGAUCGG
This 280-nucleotide ribosomal RNA is filed under the name uncultured bacterium. RNAcentral describes it as "partial 16S ribosomal RNA". It matches the Rfam family "Bacterial small subunit ribosomal RNA", at positions 28 to 307 of the family's 1533-position model. The record is from RNAcentral.